RNAcentral lists this long non-coding RNA (556 nucleotides) under Numida meleagris (helmeted guineafowl). RNAcentral describes it as "lncRNA (ENSNMEG00000022260.1)". Lineage: Eukaryota; Metazoa; Chordata; Aves; Galliformes; Numididae. The record is from RNAcentral.
UAUCAGUAACUCAGGGGAAAGAAGGAAAAAUGGUAUCUUUUUAUCCAUUUAGCACAUUAUUUAUGGAAAGUCACAAAUGUGGCUCAUCUGUUGGGUUGCAGUCUACUCGGGGUCUGAUUGUUCUGGGCUCCCACCUGGACAGGGAGCAGAGCUGCACAGCCUCCCUGCCCAGGCUAUGCCCACCACAGACACCAUGCCAGAGGAGGGGAGUGAGGCAAGGUGUUCACAUUGCAGAUGAGAUGAAAGGAGGUAGAGGAAAGGAGUGGUACCCAGUGGUGAGCAGCGUACCUUUCCUGAAAACAAAAAGCUGUCAAACAUUGAACGGAGAGCAGGGCACUGCACAGUGUGUUUCAGCCUGGCUCAGUAGAGCCGAAACAGUGAGAAAUCAGUCCUGGUUCCUUGGGACCUGCUGAAGCAGUGCCAGGAACUAGACACAAUUCUGGCUGCCUUAACCACUGCCUUUGAGAGCUACAGCUGAGAAAAGCCGCUGCCAGGAAGAAGUGAAUAGAACUAACAAGGCUAUUGAGCUGGCCAACAGAUUAGUGAAAGGUCUGAG